CUGUUAAGGUUGUUACACGGGGAAACUUCAAGUCGAAGCAAAAAAAGUCAAAUUGAUGGGGGAUGUUAUGUCUUUAUUUACUUUCCAAAUGAUUUGAGGAACUGUAAGCUGAAAACUUGCAACUUGAACAAAAGAUUGCACAAAAAACAAAUUUAACACUCGCAGAAAUCGUAAAUGAGAGAGAUUUCCAAGCUCUGGUGCUAAUACUCCUUCCAAGUAACAUCCAUUGAGAUCCCUAUACAAAGAACAAAAAUAUAUAAAUCAAGAAUAUACCUUUUGUACAUCAAAGUAAUAAUGUUUUUCGGCAUCAGUAGGUCUAUAAUUCAAGAAUAAGACCACUAAGGACCAAGAAAAAAUUAGAAGAACAAAUUUUCAGAAAUGGAAUAUGUUUGGUUUGGACAUAAAGUUUGUCUGGCAUCAACUCUUCUACUUUUGGCUGAAUUCUUCCAGUUUGUCAACGGUUGUUGUUUGUACAAUUGAAAUAAGAUCCGAAAAAUAGACAUUUACAAAUAGUUUAUAAAAAGUUUUUAAACAAACCAAGAUAGAAAAGGGAAACUUACAAAAUUAUCUUCGACUCGUGCAAACUUCGUUGCCUUUAUACAGAUACAGAGUCUCUGUAUAUCUUCCUAUUUAUUUGCCUGAAAAUUUCUCAAUUCUUGCUCCGAAAUUUUCUCAGAAAAUCUCCGGAAAAUGAUGUUCAAAGCACUCCUUGCAGAAGAAAAACAAAAGGGUAUUCUGAAAAUUCGAUUUUGUCGACUAUAGUUGAGAUUUGUGGAGAAUUUUAUCAAGCAUUUGCUGAAAAUUUUAUCAGA
This 812-nucleotide long non-coding RNA is filed under the name Olea europaea (common olive). RNAcentral describes it as "long non-coding RNA (OEUR_LNC009465)". Lineage: Eukaryota; Viridiplantae; Streptophyta; Magnoliopsida; Lamiales; Oleaceae. The record is from RNAcentral.